UUAAGCUACAAAGAGCGUAGGGUGAAUAGCUAGGCACCAAGAGCCGAAGAAGGACGUGAUAAGCUGCGAAAAGCUUUGGGUAGGAGCAAAUAUCCAUUAAUCCAGAGAUAUCCGAAUGAGGGAACUCACUUAGAGCAAACAAUCUAAGUAUCCAUAUAUGAGUAAAGUAGUAUAUGAGAAGGGAACGUGGGGAACUGAAACAUCUUAGUACCCACAGGAAAAGAAAGAGAAAUCGAUUCCUAGAGUAGUGGCGAGCGAAAUAGGAAGAGCCUAAACCAUGAGUAGUAAUACACAUGGGGUUCGGACCACGAUAUAUUAUCAAUAAUUCUAAUAGAAAUGUUUUGGAAAAGCAUACCAUAGACGGUGAAAGUCCAGUAUAUGAAAGAAAAGUUGAGAUUAGUGGUAUCCAGAGUAGUACGAGACACGAGAAAUCUCGUAUGAAUAAGCGGGGACCAUCCCGUAAGGCUAAAUACUACUUGGUGACCGAUAGUGAACUAGUACCGUGAGGGAAAGGUGAAAAGAACCCCGGGAGGGGAGUGAAAUAGAACAUGAAACCCUAUGUUUACAAGCAGACAAAGCACUUUAUAUGUGCGAUGUCGUACUUUUUGUAGAACGGUCCAGCGAGUUAUUGUGUAUGGCGAGGUUAAGUAUUACGUAAGGUACGGAGCCGAAGCGAAAGCGAGUCUGAAAAGGGCGAUAUAAGUCAUGCAUAAUAGACCCGAAACUGAGUGACCUAUCCAUGAGCAGGAUGAAGCUAGAGUAAAAUCUAGUGGAGGUCCGAACUGAUUGUCGUUAAAAAGGCACCGGAUGACUUGUGGAUAGCGGAGAAAUUCCAAUCGAACUCAGAGAUAGCUGGUUCUCCUCGAAAUAGCUUUAGGGCUAGCCUUGAGGGAAUGCAUAUGGGGGUAGAGCACUGAAUGAGGUAGGGGCCUAACCAGGUUACCAAACUCUAUCAAACUCCGAAUACCAUAUGUAAAUACUCAGGAGUCAGACUGCGGGAGCUAAGUUCCGUGGUCAAAAGGAAAACAGUCCAGAUCGUCAAUUAAGGUCCCAAAGAUAUAGCUAAGUGGAAAACGAUGUGAUUUUGCAUAAACAACCAGGAUGUUGGCUCAGAAGCAGCCAUUCAUUCAAAGAGUGCGUAAUAGCUCACUGGUCGAGUGAAGUUGCGCGGAAAAUUACCGGGGCUAAGCUAUACACCGAAAUUGCGGAUUUACAUUUGAAAGACAAUGUAAGUGGUAGAGGAGCAUUCUGUAGUAGGAAGAAGCAUGACCGUAAGGACAUGUGGACGAAGCAGAAGAGAGAAUGCUGGAAUAAGUAGCGAGAGGAUGGUGAGAAUCCAUCCCGUCGAAAAUCUAAGGUUUCCCAGGGAAGGUUCGUCCGCCUGGGGUAAGUCGGGACCUAAGGAGAGGCCGAAAGGCGUAUCUGAUGGAUAGCAGGUUGAAAUUCCUGCACUACGAAUAUACUUAAAAGAUUCAAGGGACGCAGAAGUGGAAGAUAACCAAGUAAGAGGAAAAGCUUGGCUCGCAAGAGGGAGUGAAAAUUAAAAGUAACGAAGUAUCAAGAAGCACGCUGACGAGAAAAGCUUGAAGAUAUUGUAUAUAAGUACCCGUACCGCAAACCGACACAGGUAGAUGAGGAGAGGAUCCUAAGACGAGCGGGAGAAGCAUUGUUAAGGAACUCGGCAAACUAACCCCGUAACUUCGGAAUAAGGGGUGCUGAUGUAACAGUCAGUCGCAGAGAAAAGGCCCAAGCAACUGUUUAACAAAAACAUAGGUUUCUGCUAAAUCGAAAGAUGAAGUAUAGGAGCUGACGCCUGCCCAGUGCUGGAAGGUUAAGGGAAAGAGUUAGGGUUAAACCGAAGCUUAGAACUGAAGCCCCAGUGAACGGCGGCCGUAACUAUAACGGUCCUAAGGUAGCGAAAUUCCUUGUCAGGUAAGUUCUGACCC
Molecule: ribosomal RNA, 1946 nt
Filed under: human gut metagenome
Description: bacterial LSU rRNA
Rfam family: Bacterial large subunit ribosomal RNA
Source: RNAcentral